This is a long non-coding RNA of Oncorhynchus tshawytscha (Chinook salmon), 2380 nucleotides long. The record is from Ensembl. Lineage: Eukaryota; Metazoa; Chordata; Actinopteri; Salmoniformes; Salmonidae.
GGGCGGGCUUAUCAGGGAUGCGGGGGCGGGCUUAUCAGGGAUGCGGGGGUGGGAGGUGCUUCCCUGAUAUGCCCUGCCCCCACAUAACCUCCCACACAUGGUGGUCUCAUUUGUUCUCUAUAUGAAAAUGAGAAAGGGUCUGAUUGUGAACUGGGAGAUUGUUGUCGUCCUCCAAACACUGUACUCUACUCGUGUGUGUGUGUAGGGGGUUCUGUGUUAAAAAAAAAAAAAAAAAAAAAAAAAAAAGUGUGUAUUCAUUUGAAGUAAUGUUUUUCUUGUACAGUAUCUCCCUUCCGCCCAGUCACGUGACUUAGUGCUUACGUCCCAAAUAACAACCUAUUCCCUAUAUAGUGCACUACCUUUGAGCAAAAGUAGAGUCGUAUGGGCCCUGAUGAAUGUAGUGCACUGUAUAGGAAAUAAGUAGCUUUUUUGGGGACCGUUCCAAGAUGUACAGAGUAAUUUAAAACACUAUACUGUAUUAGUAUGUAGUCAUUUGAAUGAUUUUUUGUUGUUCAGAUCUUUUGGUAGUUUCAUUUUGAAUAUACUGAAGUCUCAAGGACAAAGAGUUUGUUAGUUUAAAGAUAUUCCAUUUUUAUGGUGUUGGUUGGUGACAUUGUUACUGCUCCUGUGCACUAAGGUGAAACCUGUAUCUUUUCUCUCUCUCUCUCUCUCUCUCUCUCUGUCUCUCUCUCUCUCUCUGUCUCUCUCUCUCUCUGUCUCUCUCUCUCUCUCUGUAUCUCAAGUGUUUAUCUGUUUUCGUUCAGCUGUUCAUUUAACCAGCAGAAUGUCCGCUAUAGGUAGAAGACUGCUGGUAAGGCAGAGCGGUACAGUAAAACAGAAUCACACUAAUUCAAAUAAAAUAUCUAGAACAGACAUUUCAAGUCGACCGUGUUCUAUUUAUAUGAUCAGACCUGCUGCCCUGGUCUCUAAACUGAAAGGUGAUCAGACCUGCUGCCCUGGUCUCUAAACUGAAAGGUGAUCAAGACCUGCUGCCCUGGUCUCUAAACUGAAAGGUGAUCAGACCUGCUGCCCUGGUCUCUAAACUGAAAGGUGAUCAGACCUGCUGCCCUGGUCUCUAAACUGAAAGGUGAUCUGACCUGCUGCCCUGGUCUCUAAACUGAAAGGUGAUCAGACCUGCUGCCCUUGUCUCUAAACUGAAAGGUGAUCAGACCUGCUGCCCUUGUCUCUAAACUGAAAGGUGAUCAGACCUGCUGCCCUUGUCUCUAAACUGAAAGGUGGUCUGACCUGCUGCCCUUGUCUCUAAACUGAAAGGUGGUCUGACCUGCUGCCCUUGUCUCUAAACUGAAAGGUGGUCUGACCUGCUGCCCUUGUCUCUAAACUGAAAGGUGGUCUGACCUGCUGCCCUUGUCUCUAAACUGAAAGGUGAUCUGACCUGCUGCCCUUGUCUCUAAACUGAAAGGUGAUCAGACCUGCUGCCCUUGUCUCUAAACUGAAAGGUGAUCAGACCUGCUGCCCUUGUCUCUAAACUGAAAGGUGAUCAGACCUGCUCAUGGUGAAGCCAUUGUCCAGCUGACAGACCGGUAUAAUGUGUGGAUCAGCAUCUAGAUGUAUAUUCUGUCUGUUCUUAAUGCUGCGUCGGAACACUGAGGGAGGUCUCAGGUCCGCUUUUCAGUCUGUCCAAUGGGCAUAGAGAACGCAUACUGUACAUGAUAGAGAUGCCUCAUCCUCUAACGUGAUAUUGAGAGUGAGCUGACGAUAUGAAGCGCGUCGGGAAUAGACAUUUUACAGGGAUGAUCACCUUUUUAAUUCAGCAACUUUGACUUGAAGGUCAAUUCCACUCCCAAAAUGAUAUUUUUGUGUAUAUUUGUUUCAUUCGUCCACUGUUGAUACAGCCCCCCAAAAAAUGUUUUGCAGUGCAGCAAUCCAGUUUUCAAGAUAUAGAACUUUGAAAACGCUAAUUGUCACUUGUCACCAUCAAUCAGCCUACUGUAUAAUUACACUGAAAUAUUUAGUAUUUAUACAAAAGUUUAACUUGAACAUAAUGUCACAUGCUUCAUAACUAACAGGGGUAGAUUUAAGUAAGCAUUUCACUGUCGGUCUACACGUAUUGUUUACAAAAGCAUGUGACAUGACAUUUGAUUUGAACCCUACAGCCAUCUGGUUACAGAUGGUCUCUUUUGUGUGUUCAUGGUUAAUGUCAAAUGUAGAGAGAGAAGGACAUUUGUUUAAUUUUUACGGUGUACUUUCGAUGUGACCAGCAGAGCGUGCCAGUGUUAGUCAGGGUCGUCUUUAUUGGUGACAACGGCACAACUUUUAUACACACCAUAUCUAUCUGUAGUCUUUGCCUUAAACUUUUCAAAGAACAGUCACCAACCAACAUACACUUGAUACAUGUAAAUAAAGGUAGCCAUAUACUGUA